RNAcentral lists this ribosomal RNA (383 nucleotides) under uncultured bacterium. RNAcentral describes it as "bacterial SSU rRNA". It matches the Rfam family "Bacterial small subunit ribosomal RNA", at positions 28 to 396 of the family's 1533-position model. The record is from RNAcentral.
GAUGAACGCUGGCGGCGUGCUUAACACAUGCAAGUCGAACGGAACUCCUAUGAACGAGGUUUCGGCCAAGUGAAUAGGAUGUUUAGUGGCGGACGGGUGAGUAACGCGUGAGUAACCUGCCUUGGAGUGGGGAAUAACACAGUGAAAAUUGUGCUAAUACCGCAUAAUGCAUUUGGAUCGCAUGAUUCUGAAUGCCAAAGNUUUAUCGCUCUGAGAUGGACUCGCGUCUGAUUAGCUAGUUGCGGGGCAACGGCCCACCAAGGCGACGAUCAGUAGCCGGACUGAGAGUUGGCCGGCCACAUUGGGACUGAGACAGGCCCAGACUCCUACGGGAGGCAGCAGUGGGAAUAUUGGGCAAUGGGCGCAAGCCUGACCCAGCAACG